UUGAACGCUGGCGGCAGGCCUAACACAUGCAAGUCGAGCGGAUGAAGGGAGCUUGCUCCUGGCUUCAGCGGCGGACGGGUGAGUAAUGCCUAGGAAUCUGCCUGGUAGUGGGGGAUAACGUCCGGAAACGGGCGCUAAUACCGCAUACGUCCUGAGGGAGAAAGUGGGGGAUCUUCGGACCUCACGCUAUCAGAUGAGCCUAGGUCGGAUUAGCUAGUUGGUGGGGUAAAGGCCUACCAAGGCGACGAUCCGUAACUGGUCUGAGAGGAUGAUCAGUCACACUGGAACUGAGACACGGUCCAGACUCCUACGGGAGGCAGCAGUGGGGAAUAUUGGACAAUGGGCGAAAGCCUGAUCCAGCCAUGCCGCGUGUGUGAAGAAGGUCUUCGGAUUGUAAAGCACUUUAAGUUGGGAGGAAGGGCAGUAAGUUAAUACCUUGCUGUUUUGACGUUACCAACAGAAUAAGCACUGGCUAACUUCGUG
RNAcentral lists this ribosomal RNA (483 nucleotides) under uncultured bacterium. Its description in RNAcentral is "partial 16S ribosomal RNA". It matches the Rfam family "Bacterial small subunit ribosomal RNA", at positions 30 to 507 of the family's 1533-position model. The record is from RNAcentral.